This 355-nucleotide ribosomal RNA is filed under the name Foraminifera environmental sample. RNAcentral's name for it is "SSU rRNA". It matches the Rfam family "Eukaryotic small subunit ribosomal RNA", at positions 1160 to 1444 of the family's 1831-position model. Lineage: Eukaryota; Foraminifera. The record is from RNAcentral.
AAGGGCACCACAAGAACGCGUGGAGCAUGUGGCUUAAUUUGACUCAACGCGGGAAAUCUUACCGGGUCCGGACACACUGAGGAUUGACAGGUUCUAUCACGUUUGUUCAUUUAGACUUCUGUCUAUUUAAACUUCGUGUGUUAAAUAUGCUAGUCCUUUCAUGAUUAUGUGAUAGGUGGUGCAUGGCCGUUCUUAGUUCGUGGAGUGAUUUGUCUGCUUAAUUGCGUUUCACUACGAACGUGCAAUCAAAUAAACGUUUGCAUGUGCAUUUGAUCCCGCCUCUCUGAGGUGUUGUGCGUCUCUUGCACGCCAAUGCAUCGUUUAAGGCAUGUUCUGAAAGCAACGAACGUGACCG